GACGAACGCUGGCGGCGUGCUUAACACAUGCAAGUCGAACGGUGAGAUACGAGUAGUAAUACGAAUAUCUCAUAGUGGCGGACGGGUGAGUAACGCGUGAGCGACCUGCCCAUAAGAGGGGGAUAACACUGGGAAACUAGUGCUAAUACCGCAUAAGACCACGGUGCCGCAUGGUACUGGGGUAAAAGGGAACCCGCUUACGGAGGGGCUCGCGUCCCAUUAGCUGGUUGGUGAGGUAACGGCCCACCAAGGCGACGAUGGGUAGCCGACCUGAGAGGGUGAACGGCCACACUGGAACUGAGAGACGGUCCAGACUCCUACGGGUGGCUG
RNAcentral lists this ribosomal RNA (330 nucleotides) under uncultured Bacillota bacterium. Its description in RNAcentral is "bacterial SSU rRNA". It matches the Rfam family "Bacterial small subunit ribosomal RNA", at positions 28 to 351 of the family's 1533-position model. Lineage: Bacteria; Bacillati; Bacillota. The record is from RNAcentral.